Pecten maximus is the source of this 5607-nucleotide RNA transcript. It is a transcript of the gene named regulation of nuclear pre-mRNA domain-containing protein 1B-like, with no coding region annotated. The transcript has 10 exons. NCBI's taxonomy places the organism in Eukaryota, Metazoa, Mollusca, Bivalvia, Pectinida, Pectinidae. The record is from RefSeq and is a predicted model, not a curated record.
GGAGAAGUUAGUUUUCAACACAAUCACAACAUAUGGAAAGAUGUCGUCCUUCUCGGAUAGCAGCCUCAGCAAGAAACUAAACGAACUUAACAACACUCAACAGAGCAUCCAGACAUUGUCACUUUGGUUAAUUCACCACAGGAAGCACUCAAAAACGAUUGUACAAGUAUGGCAAAGAGAAAUGCAGAAAGUGAAGUCCAGUGUGCGACUGACCUUUAUGUACCUGGCCAAUGAUGUCAUACAGAACAGUAAGAAGAAGGGCCCAGAACUGACCAAGGACUUUGCCACAGUGUUACCAGAGGCCUACGCAGUGGCAACAAAAGAUGCAGAUGAAAAGACCAAGAAGUCAUUAGAAAGAAUUUUAAAUAUAUGGCAGGAAAGAGGAGUAUAUGACAAGACUUUUGUAUCUAAAAUAAAACAAGAUACAGAUUUGGUAAAGAGUGAUUCUCAGCCAGUAGAAAAGAUAAAAAAGAAAGUUGAUGAAUAUGUUGCUACAAAACCUAAACAUCAUAAAUCAAAGAGUAAGCAUCGGGAUCGAGAGCCAGUCAAGCCAGUUUCAGAACCAGUGGCGCCUGUUGCUGUUGUGCCCGCCAAAAAGAAGAAGAAAGAUGAUGAUCUGAGCCUUAUAGAGGAGAUAGAGGCCAUGCCAAAUGAUCCAACAAAUAAUGCAGCUGAUUCAGAGGCGUUGGUAAAGAGGCUGGCUGACCUAGAACACUCUGCAUCCAGUGACGCUGCAGUACGAGAGAAGAUAGCAGCCCUCCCACCAGAGGUGUCCGAUAUACAACACCUGUCUAAGGUUCAAGAUAAAGAAGCUGCAGUGAAGCUAGCUAGUCAGGUGGAGGAGGCGUGUAUUCUCCUGUCCGAAUACAACUUCAGACUUAAUGCUGAGUUAGAGGAGAGAAAAGCUGUGGGUAAGAUGUUACGGGACUUUAUCGUGUGCCAGAGGGAACAACUCCAGGAAGCAGAAAAUAAAGUAGAGGAUUACAAAUCAAGACUAGAGAAAGUGACGAGUGUACGACUAGAACUAUCUUCACACAUACAGAACCUACCUGAUCUUACCUUGUUACCUGAUGUGACAGGAGGGUUAGCUCCCCUUCCCUCUGCCGGUGAUCUCUUCUCACUCGAUCAGAGACAUUAAUAUAGGGCCAUUCCAGGAUGUUUGUGAUUAUACGAUUCUGUAUGGAUGGACGAGCAGAUGUGUGAUGGGCACUUUUGGUUUAGUGUGGAUGUUUAAUGACUGGACACUCCUGAAUGCAAAGCAAUUUACCUUAUGUCCACAAUCAACUAGCGCCCAAUGUUUGUAUGAUGUGAACUUGAUUGUAAUCUUAAACCAGUCAUUCCUAUAUAUGUUAAAUGACAUCUGAGGCUGAAGAGUUUUUUAUGGAACAAAGUUAAAUGUUCAGAGUGAUGACUGCAUGUGCUUCAUUGAGUGUGAGUGGUUUUAACCUGCUAUAUUAUUUGAAUGGCUAUAUUUCAUUAUGAUAUCCAUUUUAUUAGGGAAAAAUGCAAUGAUUUUACUUUAUAAUCUAUGGAUGGCCAUAGUUUGGUAAAUUUAUACAGUGUGAAAAAUAGAUGCCAGUAGAAUCAGUGUCGUGCACUACAGAACGGUCAAACCUACCUUACCGGUAUAUAUGGCUACAGCCGCUAGGGAGAUUUUGUCUAGUUAUGACCAUUUAAUAUGGCUACAGCCGCUAGGGAGAUUUUGUCUAGUUAUGACCAUUUAAUAUGGCUACAGCCGCUAGGGAGAUUUUGUCUAGUUAUGACCAUUUAAUAUGGCUACAACCGCUUUCUGUUUUUCAUGAGACUGACAAGGAUCAUUUGAAAUUUCCACCGGCACAAAUUUCACCGAGGGUACCAUGGUGACUGUGAGUCUGUCAUCGAGGGUACCAUGGUGGCUGUGUGUCUGUCACCGAGGGUACCAUGGUGGCUGUGUGUCUGUCACCGAGGGUACCAUGGUGGCUGUGUGUCUGUCACCGAGGGUACCAUGGUGGCUGUGAGUCUGUCACCGAGGGUACCAUGGUGGCUGUGUGUCUGUCACCGAGGGUACCAUGGUGGCUGUGUGUCUGUCACCGAGGGUACCAUGGUGGCUGUGUGUCUGUCACCGAGGGUACCAUGGUGGCUGUGUCUGUGUGUCUGUCACCGAGGGUACCAUGGUAGCUGUGACUGUGAGUCUGUCACCGAGGGUACCAUGGUGGCUGUGUGUCUGUCACCGAGGGUACCAUGGUGGCUGUGAGUCUGUCACUAGGUUACCAUGGUGGCUGUGACUGUGGCUGUGAGUCUGUCACCGAGGGUACCAUGGUGGCUGUGUGUCUGUCACCGAGGGUACCAUGGUAGCUGUGACUGUGAGUCUGUCACCGAGGGUACCAUGGUGGCUGUGUGUCUGUCACCGAGGGUACCAUGGUGGCUGUGUGUCUGUCACUGAGGGUACCAUGGUGGCUGUGUGUCUGUCACCGAGGGUACCAUGGUGGCUGUGUGUCUGUCACCGAGGGUACCAUGGUGGCUGUGUGUCUGUCACCGAGGGUACCAUGGUGGCUGUGUGUCUGUCACCGAGGGUACCAUGGCGGCUGUGAGUCUGUCACUGAGGGUACAGUAGUGGCUUGAGAAACAGGUGGGUUUUUUUUACCUAUAAAUCUGUCACCGAGGGUUCAAUGGUGGCUUGUGAAACAGGUGUUUUCACAAUCAUUAUGGUCAUACCUUUUUACGGUAGCUGCUGUUGAAUGACAUAAAGCAUUCAUGCGUUUUUUCAUCUUUGUACCAUAUGCAAUAGAUUUUUUUUUGGUCUGUGUAUGUUUAUCAUUGGUAGGUAUGAAGUAAGAAAUUUUUAUUUUGAUAGUAUUAAAAGAGUCCUGUUCAUUGUGACCUAGUUUACAUAAUAUUAUUCUGUGUAUCUGAUCCACAAGACUUUUAGAAUGAAAGUAGCAUUAGGAAUUUGCUUGUCAAUUACAUUAUUAUCUAGCCAGAAUCUGCAUGUUUAUUCCGGCAAGCAAGUCAUGCAACAAAUUAAUUAUAUAUAUUAUUAUAUGAUUAAUAUAAGAUGAAGUGUUUGUGUAUGAAUUAGCUACAUUGUAGACUUCACAAUUUAAUCCAGUGACCUUGUCGAUAGAAUGUGCUAUUAUGUAUUAUAAAACAUUUAUAUAAAACAAUUACACUGUAUCUAUAAUGGUCUAGUCACUACAUAUUUGUCUUCAUCCAAUACUUGUGGGUGUACAGAUAUUAUAGACUUGUAUAGAUGAUGUUAUAUAAAACCUUCUGGUUGAUGCCUCUCAGUGCUACAUAGUACACACUUACAACGAUAUAUUUGCUGGCUUCAUCACCACGUGAACAGCCAGGGUCAUUUUGAGGCGGGUCUCCUUGUAGUUGAAUAACCUGGGAGGCCCGCUGUAUGUCAUCGAAAACAGUUAGGAUAAAGUGUCUUGCCCGUGGACACAACCAUGACAGCACAGACUGGUCCAUUUCUCAGUUUUCUGAGAAACACAAACAACCAAAGGUAGGAAACAAUGAACCAUGAACCUUGUAUCUUCACCUGAGGUUAAGUGGCCAUCGCUCUAAUUGAGCUAUCACGGCCCCCUCACCCGAGGAUACGUGGCCAUAGCUCUGAGCUAUCACGGCCCCCUCACCCGAGGUUACGUGGCCAUCACUCUAACUGAGCUAUCACGGCCCCCUCACCCGAGGUUAUGUGGCUAUCGCUCUAAUUGAGCUAUCACGGCCCCCUCACCCGAGGUUACGUACGUGGCCAUAGCUCUGAGCUAUCACGGCCCCCUCACCCGAGGUUACGUGGCCAUAGCUCUAACUGAGCUAUCACGGCCUCCUCACCCAAGGUUAUGUGGCCAUCGCUCUAACUGAGCUAUCACGGCCCCCUCACCCGAGGUUACGUGGCCAUAGCUCUAACUGAGCUAUCACGGCCCCCUCACCCAAGGUUACGUGGCCAUCGCUCUAACUGAGCUAUCACGGCCCCCUCACCCGAGGUUAUGUGGCCAUCACUCUAACUGAGCUAUCACGGCCCCUUCACCCUAGGUUACGAGUUGGUGAACAAUAAGUUUUGUUUUAAAUCAGGGGGGAUAACUCUUCCACACAGACUGUGUUUUUAUGAAAUAAAGUAUGGACCCAGUGGCCAGACCUUCAUCAAGUCUGUUGAGUCUUCAAAAAAAAUUUAAAUGCCGAAAAUGUUGAACGCUCUGUGAAUACAAAACCAUGCGUUACAAAGUGUUGGCGAUAUCCCAUUUCUUUUAGAGUGUUAUCGAUAUCAUUUUAUUUAGUUUGAUUAUUUUUCAUUUAAAAUCCAAUGUUCAUAUAUUCAUUUAUAUAUAUCUAUGGGCAUGUUUUUACAUUUAAAUUAAUCAGAGGAUAGAAUGGUUUCCAUAUAUAGUGCGAUCAUGCCAUUUAUAGUCAAAUUUCACGAAAAAAUCGUCAAGUGUGUUCCCUAUAUCCACGUAUGAUUUUAAAUUUGUUUUUCAGUUUUUGGCCAAAUAAAGGAAUUACAUCUGCCAUUUGUUGUGAUCGAGUAAUCCUUUUUGGUGUAUAUCUUCAAUAGGUUAUGUGUCAGUAUACAAAUUGAAUUGAAAACAACAGUAAUAUGUUAAAUCUAAUUCUGAAACAGGUCGUGGGGACGCCAUUUUUGUGUUACGGAGUCCAUGCAUGAGACGUAUGUUCCUACCUGAUAUAGGCUCAUGGUAAAUUCUACAUGUAUGAAAUGAAACUCAAAUACUGUGUUCAUACAGGAUGUAUUCACAAAAGUGUUUGUAUGAGACCAAAACUUUCCAUAACUGGUGUUGUUUCACUCAUCUUAAAAAAAGAAAUCUGUCAUCUACGUCCAAAGUAUACUCUAGCAUAGCUAGUGGAUCUUGGUUUGUAUUUGAGAUUUGUGAAAAUAGUCGAAGAAUUUGACAUUUUACCUGGUGAGAUAAAGAGGAAAAAAAUUGUGAAAAGUUUCAGAAAUAUUGAAUGAUCAGAUUUAAAAUAAACGCAGUGUUUCAACUCACUGUCCCAAGUGACAUCACAAGAAAUCACCAACGAUUGUCAUUACUUAUGUGUAAAUAACAAAAUUUAUGUUUACUGGAAUAAACUCAGAAAUAACUCCAUAUUGAAACAAAUACCAAGUGGCUAUAGCAGGCAUUAAAUGCUAGUAUGAGGGGACAGAGAGAAGUGAAAGUGCUGAUGUAAAAGAUUUUUUUUUUUAAUUUUGUGGAUUGCUAAGCAAUAAUUUUAAUGAGUUCAAUGUGGUUCAAGUUCAAGAAAUCAAUGACCAGACUGAAUUUAUUACAUAUACCCAAACUAUACAUUGGUUAUAUAGGUGUGUAUGUCAGUGUGACCGACCAAAACAUGGAUGGAUCAGUUUGAUUGUCAUGUGUGUUAACUGAUCUACAUGAGGAGUUUUUGGCGUUAUAAGUUUAUAGUCCAUCGAUGACUUUAUCAAAACUUUCAUAAUUAUUACAGCUACAAAUGUAAUGAAAAAAAAAGUUCUGUUUCAAGCUUAUGAAUUUUGAAACAUCAAUAUGAUGUAAUGUUGAGACAUCUGUUGUUAUAACCAGUGAUCUGUCUAAUUGAGAGGAUGAUUGUGUCUUGUGUAUGUACGUAAUCUAAGGUGCAGAAUAAAUACUGUUGCGAGUU